RNAcentral lists this ribosomal RNA (401 nucleotides) under uncultured bacterium. RNAcentral's name for it is "partial 16S ribosomal RNA". It matches the Rfam family "Archaeal small subunit ribosomal RNA", at positions 473 to 873 of the family's 1478-position model. The record is from RNAcentral.
ACACCGGCGGCCCGAGUGGUGAUCGUGAUUAUUGGGUCUAAAGGGUCCGUAGCCGGUUUGGUCAGUCCUCCGGGAAAUCUGAUAGCUCAACCAUUAGGCUUUCGGGGGAUACUGCCAGACUUGGAACCGGGAGAGGUAAGAGGUACUACAGGGGUAGGAGUGAAAUCUUGUAAUCCCUGUGGGACCACCUGUGGCGAAGGCGUCUUACCAGAACGGGUUCGACGGUGAGGGACGAAAGCUGGGGGCACGAACCGGAUUAGAUACCCGGGUAGUCCCAGCCGUAAACGAUGCUCGCUAGGUGUCAGGCAUGGCGCGACCGUGUCUGGUGCCGCAGGGAAGCCGUGAAGCGAGCCACCUGGGAAGUACGGCCGCAAGGCUGAAACUCAAAUGAAUUGACGGGG